UACGUAGGGAGCAAGCGUUGUUCGGAUUUACUGGGCGUAAAGGGCGCGUAGGCGGCGCAGUAAGUCACUUGUGAAAUCUCUGAGCUUAACUCAGAACGGCCAAGUGAUACUGCGGUGCUAGAGUGCAGAAGGGGCAAUCGGAAUUCCUGGUGUAGCGGUGGAAUGCGCAGAUAUCAGGAGGAACACCAACGGCGAAGGCAGCUCGCUGGGACGGUACUGACGCUGAGGCGCGAAAGCGUGGGGAGCAAACAGG
This 253-nucleotide ribosomal RNA is filed under the name uncultured bacterium. RNAcentral's name for it is "partial 16S ribosomal RNA". It matches the Rfam family "Bacterial small subunit ribosomal RNA", at positions 524 to 776 of the family's 1533-position model. The record is from RNAcentral.